This 328-nucleotide ribosomal RNA is filed under the name uncultured eukaryote. RNAcentral describes it as "partial 18S ribosomal RNA". It matches the Rfam family "Eukaryotic small subunit ribosomal RNA", at positions 1470 to 1796 of the family's 1831-position model. The record is from RNAcentral.
CCCUUAGAUGUCCUGGGCCGCACGCGCGCUACACUGAUACGUGCAACAAGUACAUCCUGAUCCGGAAGGAGACGGGUAAUCUUUAUAGUACGUAUCGUGCUGGGGAUAGAUCUUUGCAAUUUUGGAUCUUGAACGAGGAAUUCCUAGUAGGCAUAAGUCAUCAGCUUGUGCCGAUUACGUCCCUGCCCUUUGUACACACCGCCCGUCGCUCCUACCGAUUGAAUGGUCCGGUGAAGCGUUCGGACCGUGGCCUUUGGACGGUUCGCCGUCUGUUGGCUGCGGGAAGUUCGUUAAACCUUAUCAUUUAGAGGAAGGAGAAGUCGUAACA